RNAcentral lists this microRNA (18 nucleotides) under Gadus morhua (Atlantic cod). Its description in RNAcentral is "gmo-miR-190b-5p". Its record names the gene gmo-miR-190b-5p. The record is from miRBase by way of RNAcentral. Lineage: Eukaryota; Metazoa; Chordata; Actinopteri; Gadiformes; Gadidae.
AUGUUUGAUAUUCGGUUG